AUUGAACGCUGGCGGCAUGCCUUACACAUGCAAGUCGAACGGCAGCACGGGAGCAAUCCUGGUGGCGAGUGGCGAACGGGUGAGUAAAGUAUCGGAACGUGCCCAGUCGUGGGGGAUAACGUAGCGAAAGUUACGCUAAUACCGCAUACGAUCUAUGGAUGAAAGCGGGGGAUCUCAAGACCUCGCGCGUUUGUAGCGGCCGAUAUCAGAUUAGGUAGGUGGUGGGGUAAAGGCUCACCAAGCCGACGAUCUGUAGCUGGUCUGAGAGGACGACCAGCCACACUGGGACUGAGACACGGCCCAGACUCCUACGGGAGGCAGCAGUGGGGAAUUUUGGACAAUGGGCGAAAGCCUGAUCCAGCCAUGCCGCGUGCAGGAUGAAGGCCUUCGGGUUGUAAACUGCUUUUGUACGGAACGAAAAGGUUUGGCCUAAUAAGCUGAGCUCAUGACGGUACCGUAAGAAUAAGCACCGGCUAACUACGUGCCAGCAGCCGCCGUAA
Molecule: ribosomal RNA, 500 nt
Filed under: uncultured bacterium
Lineage: Bacteria
Description: partial 16S ribosomal RNA
Rfam family: Bacterial small subunit ribosomal RNA
Source: RNAcentral